GACGAACGCUGGCGGCGUGCUUAACACAUGCAAGUCGAACGGAAAGGCCCCGCUUUUGUGGGGUGCUCGAGUGGCGAACGGGUGAGUAACACGUGAGUAACCUGCCCUUGACUUUGGGAUAACUUCAGGAAACUGGGGCUAAUACCGGAUAGGAGCUCCUGCUGCAUGGUGGGGGUUGGAAAGUUUCGGCGGUUGGGGAUGGACUCGCGGCUUAUCAGCUUGUUGGUGGGGUAGUGGCUUACCAAGGCUUUGACGGGUAGCCGGCCUGAGAGGGUGACCGGCCACAUUGGGACUGAGAUACGGCCCAGACUCCUACGGGAGGCAGCAGUGGGGAAUAUUGCACAAUGGGCGGGAGCCUGAUGCAGCAACGCCGCGUGCGGGAUGACGGCCUUCGGGUUGUAAACCGCUUUCGCCUGUGACGAAGCGUGAGUGACGGUAAUGGGUAAAGAAGCACCGGCUAACUACGUG
Molecule: ribosomal RNA, 468 nt
Filed under: uncultured bacterium
Lineage: Bacteria
Description: partial 16S ribosomal RNA
Rfam family: Bacterial small subunit ribosomal RNA
Source: RNAcentral